Molecule: transfer RNA, 71 nt
Filed under: Chelonia mydas (Green sea turtle)
Lineage: Eukaryota; Metazoa; Chordata; Testudines; Cheloniidae
Rfam family: tRNA
About the family: Transfer RNA (tRNA) molecules are approximately 80 nucleotides in length. Their secondary structure includes four short double-helical elements and three loops (D, anti-codon, and T loops).
Source: Rfam by way of RNAcentral
GAAAGUAUGGUCCAGUGGUGGGGCACUAGCCUAGGAGCUAGGAGAUUUGGGUUCAAGUCCCUAUUCUGCCA